CAGCCGCGGUAAUUCCAGCUCCAAUAGCGUAUAUUAAAGUUGUUGCAGUUAAAAAGCUCGUAGUUGAACCUUGGGCCUGGCUGGCCGGUCCGCCUCACCGCGUGUACUGGUCCGGCCGGGCCUUUCCUUCUGGGGAGCCGCAUGUCCUUCACUGGGCGUGUCGGGGAACCAGGACUUUUACUUUGAAAAAAUUAGAGUGUUCAAAGCAGGCCUUUGCUCGAAUACAUUAGCAUGGAAUAAUAGAAUAGGACGUCGCGGUUCUAUUUUGUUGGUUUCUAGGACCGCCGUAAUGAUUAAUAGGGAUAGUCGGGGGCAUCCGUAUUCAAUUGUCAGAGGUGAAAUUCUUGGAUUUAUUGAAGACGAACUACUGCGAAAGCAUUUGCCAAGGAUGUUUUCAUUAAUCAGUGAACGAAAGUUAGGGGAUCGAAGACGAUCAGAUACCGUCGUAGUCUUAACCAUAAACUAUGCCGACUAGGGAUCGGUGGAUGUUUCUAUUUUGACUCCAUCGGCACCUUACGAGAAAUCAAAGUUUUUGGGUUCUGGGGGGAGUAUGGUCGCAA
RNAcentral lists this ribosomal RNA (560 nucleotides) under Teratosphaeria cryptica. RNAcentral describes it as "SSU rRNA". It matches the Rfam family "Eukaryotic small subunit ribosomal RNA", at positions 571 to 1134 of the family's 1831-position model. Lineage: Eukaryota; Fungi; Ascomycota; Dothideomycetes; Mycosphaerellales; Teratosphaeriaceae. The record is from RNAcentral.